CCUACGGGCAGCAGCAGUGGGGAAUAUUGCGCAAUGGGCGAAAGCCUGACGCAGCGACGCCGCGUGAGGGAUGAAGGUCUUCGGAUCGUAAACCUCUGUCAGCAGGGAAGAACGGUCACUGUGCUAAUCAGCAGUGAAUUGACGGUACCUGCAAAGGAAGCACCGGCUAACUCCGUGCCAGCAGCCGCGGUAAUACGGAGGGUGCGAGCGUUAAUCGGAAUUACUGGGCGUAAAGCGCUCGUAGGCGGUAUGUCAAGUCAAGGGUGAAAUCCCCGCGCUCAACGUGGGAACUGCCUUUGAAACUGGCAAACUGGAGUGUGUGAGAGGAUAGUGGAAUUCCAGGUGUAGGAGUGAAAGCCGUAGAUAUCUGGAGGAACAUCAGUGGCGAAGGCGACUAUCUGGCACAUAACUGACGCUGAGGAGCGAAAGCGUGGGUAGCAAACAGGAUUAGAUACCCCAGUAGUC
Molecule: ribosomal RNA, 465 nt
Filed under: uncultured bacterium
Lineage: Bacteria
Description: partial 16S ribosomal RNA
Rfam family: Bacterial small subunit ribosomal RNA
Source: RNAcentral